UUUGUGAUCUGUGUCUUGUUAACCAUUUGGUUGUACUGAAAGACCCUCUAAGGAGCAGCACGUUCAGUUUUUCUGUCUGGUACUGGGCCUGGGCCUCUUUCAGGUGUUCAUUGACCGUGUGGCAGAGGGUCUGCGCCUCAAUCCAGUAGCUCUCCAGCUUCAACAUCCUCUCCUU
Molecule: long non-coding RNA, 175 nt
Organism: Scomber japonicus (chub mackerel)
Lineage: Eukaryota; Metazoa; Chordata; Actinopteri; Scombriformes; Scombridae
Exons: 3
Source: RefSeq, a predicted model, not a curated record